GGGUCAGUAGGUUGGUCGUGCCACCGGUACGUACUGGUCUCACUGAUUCCUCCUUCCUGAAGAACCGUAAUGCCAUUAAUUUGGGGUUGCGGGGAAACAGGACUGUUACUUUGAAAAAAUUAGAGUGUUUAAAGCAAGCUAACGCUUGAAUACAUUAGCAUGGAAUAAUGAAAUAGGACGAUCGAUCCUAUUUUGUUGGUUUCUAGGAUUGACGUA
RNAcentral lists this ribosomal RNA (216 nucleotides) under Glomeromycotina sp. RNAcentral describes it as "partial small subunit ribosomal RNA". The stretch from base 40 to 216 matches the Rfam family "Eukaryotic small subunit ribosomal RNA", at positions 686 to 864 of the family's 1831-position model. The record is from RNAcentral. Lineage: Eukaryota; Fungi; Glomeromycota.